CUAGUAUAAGCAAUUAUACAGCGAAACUGCGAAUGGCUCAUUAUAUAAGUUAUCGUUUAUUUGAUAGUACCUUACUACAUGGAUAACCGUGGUAAUUCUAGAGCUAAUACAUGCUAAAAAUCCCAACUUCGGAAGGGAUGUAUUUAUUAGAUUAAAAACCAAUGCCCUCCGGGGCUCACUGGUGAUUCAUAAUAACUUCUCGAAUCGCAUGGCCUUGCGCCGGCGAUGGUUCAUUCAAAUUUCUUCCCUAUCAACUUUCGAUGUUUGGGUAUUGGCCAAACAUGGUUGCAACGGGUAACGGAGGGUUAGGGCUCGACCCCGGAGAAGGAGCCUGAGAAACGGCUACUACAUCCAAGGAAGGCAGCAGGCGCGCAAAUUACCCAAUCCCGACUCGGGGAGGUAGUGACAAUAAAUACUGAUACAGGGCUCUUUUGGGUCUUGUAAUUGGAAUGAGUACAAUUUAAAUCCCUUAACGAGGAACAAUUGGAGGGCAAGUCUGGUGCCAGCAGCCGCGGUAAUUCCAGCUCCAAUAGCGUAUAUUAAAGUUGUUGUGGUUAAAAAGCUCGUAGUUGAACCUUGGGCCUGGCUGGCCGGUCCGCCUCACCGCGUGUACUGGUCCGGCCGGGCCUUUCCCUCUGUGGAACCCCAUGCCCUUCACUGGGUGUGGCGGGGAAACAGGACUUUUACUGUGAAAAAAUUAGAGUGCUCCAGGCAGGCCUAUGCUCGAAUACAUUAGCAUGGAAUAAUAGAAUAGGACGUGUGGUUCUAUUUUGUUGGUUUCUAGGACCGCCGUAAUGAUUAAUAGGGACAGUCGGGGGCAUCAGUAUUCAAUUGUCAGAGGUGAAAUUCUUGGAUUUAUUGAAGACUAACUACUGCGAAAGCAUUUGCCAAGGAUGUUUUCAUUAAUCAGGAACGAAAGUUAGGGGAUCGAAGACGAUCAGAUACCGUCGUAGUCUUAACCAUAAACUAUGCCGACUAGGGAUCGGACGGUGUUAUAUUUUGACCCGUUCGGCACCUUACGAGAAAUCAAAGUGCUUGGGCUCCAGGGGGAGUAUGGUCGCAAGGCUGAAACUUAAAGAAAUUGACGGAAGGGCACCACCAGGGGUGGAGCCUGCGGCUUAAUUUGACUCAACACGGGGAAACUCACCAGGUCCAGACACAAUGAGGAUUGACAGAUUGAGAGCUCUUUCUUGAUUUUGUGGGUGGUGGUGCAUGGCCGUUCUUAGUUGGUGGAGUGAUUUGUCUGCUUAAUUGCGAUAACGAACGAGACCUUAACCUGCUAAAUAGCCCGUAUUGCUUUGGCAGUACGCUGGCUUCUUAGAGGGACUAUCGCUCAAGCCGAA
Molecule: ribosomal RNA, 1343 nt
Filed under: Fusarium solani
Lineage: Eukaryota; Fungi; Ascomycota; Sordariomycetes; Hypocreales; Nectriaceae
Description: SSU rRNA
Rfam family: Eukaryotic small subunit ribosomal RNA
Source: RNAcentral